CCUACGGGAGGCAGCAGUGAGGAAUCUUGGUCAAUGGACGAGAGUCUGAACCAGCCAAGUAGCGUGAAGGAUGACUGCCCUAUGGGUUGUAAACUUCUUUUAUAUGGGAGUAAAAUGUUCCACGUGUGGGAUUUUGUAUGUACCAUAUGAAUACGGAUCGGCUAACUCCGUGCCAGCAGCGGCGGUAAUGCGGAGGAUCCGAGCGUUAUCCGGAUUUAUUGGGUUUAAAGGGAGCGUAGGUGGAUUGUUAAGUCAGUUGUGAAAGUUUGCGGCUCAGCCGGAAAAUUGCAGUGGAAACUGGCAGUCUUGAGUACAGUAGAGGUGGGCGGAAUUCGUGGUGUAGCGGUGAAAUGCUUAGAUAUCACGAAGAACUCCGAUUGCGAAGGCAGCUCACUGGACUGCAACUGACACUGAGGCUCGAAAGUGUGGGUAGCAAACAGGAUUAGAUACCCCAGUAGUC
RNAcentral lists this ribosomal RNA (460 nucleotides) under uncultured bacterium. RNAcentral's name for it is "partial 16S ribosomal RNA". It matches the Rfam family "Bacterial small subunit ribosomal RNA", at positions 338 to 795 of the family's 1533-position model. The record is from RNAcentral.